GGGCGAUUAGCUCAGCUGGUAGAGCAGGAGACUCUUAAUCUCAAGGUCGUAGGUUCGAGCCCUACAUCGCCCA
Molecule: transfer RNA, 73 nt
Filed under: Actinomycetes bacterium
Lineage: Bacteria; Bacillati; Actinomycetota; Actinomycetes
Also listed under: 3 other names
Description: tRNA-Lys
Rfam family: tRNA
About the family: Transfer RNA (tRNA) molecules are approximately 80 nucleotides in length. Their secondary structure includes four short double-helical elements and three loops (D, anti-codon, and T loops).
Source: RNAcentral